Molecule: transfer RNA, 87 nt
Filed under: Nitrospinaceae bacterium
Lineage: Bacteria; Pseudomonadati; Nitrospinota; Nitrospinia; Nitrospinales; Nitrospinaceae
Description: tRNA-Leu
Rfam family: tRNA
About the family: Transfer RNA (tRNA) molecules are approximately 80 nucleotides in length.
Source: RNAcentral
GCCCAAGUGGUGGAACUGGUAGACACGCCAGCUUGAGGUGCUGGUGGGGGAAACCCUGUGGAGGUUCGAGUCCUCUCUUGGGCACCA